ACACCCGUUCCCAUACCGAACACGGAAGUUAAGCUCUCUAGCGCCGAUGGUAGUUGGGACCUUGUCCCUGUGAGAGUAGGACGUUGCCAGGCA
RNAcentral lists this ribosomal RNA (93 nucleotides) under Bacillus cereus BAG3X2-2. The record is from RNAcentral. Lineage: Bacteria; Bacillati; Bacillota; Bacilli; Caryophanales; Bacillaceae. RNAcentral also lists the same sequence under 2 other names.